CUCCUACGGGAGGCAGCAGUAGGGAAUCUUCCGCAAUGGGCGCAAGCCUGACGGAGCAACGCCGCGUGAGUGAGGAAGGCCUUCGGGUUGUAAAACUCAGUCACCUGGGAAGAGAGGUAUGGGGAGUGGAAUGCCCCAUACGAGACGGUACCAGGGGAGGAAGCCCCGGCUAACUACGUGCCAGCAGCCGCGGUAAUACGUAGGGGGCAAGCGUUGUCCGGAAUCACUGGGCGUAAAGCGUGCGUAGGCGGUCUUUCAAGUCCGGGGUGAAAACUCAAGGCUCAACCUUGAGAAUGCCUUGGAAACUGGGGGACUUGGGUACUGGAGAGGCAAGGGGAAUUCCACGUGUAGCGGUGAAAUGCGUAGAGAUGUGGAGGAAUACCAGUGGCGAAGGCGCCUUGCUGGACAGUGACUGACGCUGAGGCACGAAAGCGUGGGGAGCAAACAGGAUUAGAUACCCUGGUAGUCCACGCCGUAAACGAUGAGUGCUAGGUGUUGGGGGUUCAUCCCCUCAGUGCCGAAGGAAACCCAAUAAGCACUCCGCCUGGGGAGUACGGUCGCAAGACUGAAACUCAAAGGAAUUGACGGGGGCCCGCACAAGCAGUGGAGCAUGUGGUUUAAUUCGAAGCAACGCGAAGAACCUUACCAGGGCUUGACAUCCCUCUGACCGGUUCAGAGAUGGACCUUCCCUUCGGGGCAGAGGAGACAGGUGGUGCAUGGUUGUCGUCAGCUCGUGUCGUGAGAUGUUGGGUUAAGUCCCGCAACGAGCGCAACCCUUGACCUGUGUUACCAGCACGUAAUGGUGGGGACUCACAGGUGACUGCCGGCGUAAGUCGGAGGAAGGUGGGGAUGACGUCAAAUCAUCAUGCCCUUUAUGUCCUGGGCUACACACGUGCUACAAUGGGCGGUACAACGGGAAGCGAGACCGCGAGGUGGAGCGAAACCCAAAAAGCCGUUCGUAGUUCGGAUUGCAGGCUGCAACCCGCCUGCAUGAAGCCGGAAUUGCUAGUAAUCGCGGAUCAGCAUGCCGCGGUGAAUCCGUUCCCGGGCCUUGUACACACCGCCCGU
Molecule: ribosomal RNA, 1068 nt
Filed under: Alicyclobacillus sp. enrichment culture clone MRT18-05
Lineage: Bacteria; Bacillati; Bacillota; Bacilli; Caryophanales; Alicyclobacillaceae
Description: bacterial SSU rRNA
Rfam family: Bacterial small subunit ribosomal RNA
Source: RNAcentral